UACGGGGGGGGCAAGCGUUGUUCGGAAUUACUGGGCGUAAAGGGCUUGUAGGUGGCCAACUAAGUCAGACGUGAAAUCCCUCGGCUUAACCGGGGAACUGCGUCUGAUACUGGAUGGCUGGAGUUUGGGAGAGGGAUGCGGAAUUCCAGGUGUAGCGGUGAAAUGCGUAGAUAUCUGGAGGAACACCGGUGGCGAAGGCGGCAUCCUGGACCAACACUGACGCUGAGGAGCGAAAGCCAGGGGAGCAAACGGG
Molecule: ribosomal RNA, 253 nt
Filed under: uncultured bacterium
Lineage: Bacteria
Description: partial 16S ribosomal RNA
Rfam family: Bacterial small subunit ribosomal RNA
Source: RNAcentral